AGCCUCUGGGUUCCUGCAGUUGUUUUCUGUUGGUCUCCCGGCUUCUGCCUCUUAUGUCUGUUCUCAUCUCAUUAACUGGAGUGAUCCUUGUAAAGAACACCAGUCUCUCCUCAGAACCCUCUGCUGGUUUCUCAUCUCAUUCAGCAUUAAGGUCAAAGUCCUGCAGAGAUCUCCACGGCCCAGCAAGGUCUUGCUUUGGUUCAUGUGUCUGACUCUAUCUCUACCACACUUGCUUCACUUCAGCCAACCAGACCCCUGCUGCCGCCCCACAUGCGAGGCCCACUCCUGCCUUGGGCGUGUGAGCUUGCUGUUCCUGAUCUCCAGGUGUGUUGGCCACCGCGACCCACACAGGGCACUAGUCAUCUCCUUCAGGCUUGGCUCCAGGGCACCGUCUUGCUAAAAUGCAGUAAAACAUAGAGUGAAUGUUGUUGCCAAGCAUCAUCGAUAGAAAGGCGGUCUUGUGAGAACUUUGGUUUGCCCUCAUCCACCUUACUCACUGGAUCUGGCACCAGGCAACUUUUGUUGUAUAAAAGUGAGAAUGAUCAUGAAAACUAAAUGCUUUGAAUUAAUUGAGGACAUUGAGGCAGCCACGACAGUGCGACUAAAGACACUGUGAAAGAGGACUCCAGAACUACAUCAGAAAGUGGCAACAACAAUGGAAUAAGUGUGCUUGAAGCAAGGGGAAAUAUCUUGAGGGAACUGUCAUGAGCUGAGAGUUUUCUUCUACCGUGCUCUCCUGCCACGAUGUUCUACCUCGCCACAGGCCCAAAACUAAUAAGGCUAUAUACUGAAACCUCCCAAACUCACAUGUACCCCUGUCUGACUCAGACAGCAAGAAGGAAGAAAGGCAGCCAAACUGAUGAUGAGCCAGCCGCUCUUCUGUUCAAGAUCCAAGCACCAACUCUGAUCUCCCACUGACUACCAGGCAGGAGUGAUUGCUCACUUCUAAUGAAAAAGAGAAGAGGUGCAAAGAUUUUCUGAGGUCAAACAUAACUGAUAAGCAAUAAAGACCAAGAAUCCAGAUAAGUCUGACACUUCCUGUUACUCAUGCAUAAUCAACAGUAGACUAGGAGAGGCUCAAAGGAUUGUGUGUCCCUGUGGGUCUCUCUUCACUCCUGGAUGGUAAAAGGGAGGCUCUUCAAUGUCCUACUGAAUCUAAGUGGGGCACAAGUAUUUGGGGGGAACUUAGAAGCAGCGAUUUCUUAGAAGUGGACAGAAAUGUGAAAAUUUUCCAGUUUGAUACCAUGUUUUACAGAUGACAGAACA
This is a long non-coding RNA of Fukomys damarensis (Damara mole-rat), 1266 nucleotides long. RefSeq lists it as uncharacterized. The record is from RefSeq and is a predicted model, not a curated record. The transcript is spliced from 4 exons. Lineage: Eukaryota; Metazoa; Chordata; Mammalia; Rodentia; Bathyergidae.